UGUCUCCUGUGAUGUUGGUGGGGUGUUAUUUGUUUUUAACCAAUGCAAAUCACAAGGGAAUCCAAAUGCGAUUAUUGGAGCAAAUGCCGUCUCGAGCGGACUUGUGAAGAUAAUAUGAGGAUACCCACCUGCUAGGGCAGGUUAAAACUGUGGGCCUCACGGCAAAACGGGGAGUUG
This 177-nucleotide non-coding RNA is filed under the name Alicyclobacillus fastidiosus. RNAcentral's name for it is "6S RNA". It matches the Rfam family "6S / SsrS RNA". Rfam says of the family: E. coli 6S RNA was the first non coding RNA to be sequenced, but its function was unknown until recently. It consists of 184 nucleotides that fold into an extended hairpin structure with a large single-stranded internal bulge. Lineage: Bacteria; Bacillati; Bacillota; Bacilli; Caryophanales; Alicyclobacillaceae. The record is from RNAcentral.